Molecule: microRNA precursor, 205 nt
Organism: Oryza sativa Japonica Group (Japanese rice)
Lineage: Eukaryota; Viridiplantae; Streptophyta; Magnoliopsida; Poales; Poaceae
Rfam family: MIR812 microRNA precursor family
Source: Rfam
AAAGAUUGUAGUUUUACACUGUUUAUGUUCAACAUUUGAUCGUCCGUCUUGUUUAGAAAACUUUUAUGAUUAGUAUUUUAUUGUUAUUAGAUGAUAAAACAUGAAUAAUACUUUAUGUGUGACUAUUUUUUUUAUUUUUUCAUAAAAUUUUUAAAUAAGAUGGACAGUCAAACACUAGAUAUGAAAACCCACAACUGCACUUACA